This 512-nucleotide ribosomal RNA is filed under the name uncultured bacterium. RNAcentral's name for it is "bacterial SSU rRNA". It matches the Rfam family "Bacterial small subunit ribosomal RNA", at positions 355 to 881 of the family's 1533-position model. The record is from RNAcentral.
UGGGGAAUCUUGGACAAUGGGGGCAACCCUGAUCCAGCCAUGCCGCGUGAGUGAUGAAGGCCUUAGGGUCGUAAAGCUCUUUCGCCUGUGAAGAUAAUGACGGUAGCAGGUAAAGAAACCCCGGCUAACUCCGUGCCAGCAGCCGCGGUAAUACGGAGGGGGUUAGCGUUGUUCGGAAUUACUGGGCGUAAAGCGCACGUAGGCGGACCAGAAAGUUGGGGGUGAAAUCCCGGGGGCUCAACCCCGGAACUGCCUCCAAAACUAUUGGUCUAGAGUUCGAGAGAGGUGAGUGGAAUUCCAAGUGUAGAGGUGAAAUUCGUAGAUAUUUGGAGGAACACCAGUGGCGAAGGCGGCUCACUGGCUCGAUACUGACGCUGAGGUGCGAAAGUGUGGGGAGCAAACAGGAUUAGAUACCCUGGUAGUCCACACCGUAAAACGAUGAAUGCCAGUCGUCGGGGUAGCAUGCUAUUCGGUGACACACCUAACGGAUUAAGCAUUCCGGCCUGGGGAGU